GCCUAAUACAUGCAAGUCGAGCGAACCGACGGGAGCUUGCUCCCUUAGGUUAGCGGCGGACGGGUGAGUAACACGUGGGUAACCUGCCUGUAAGACUGGGAUAACUCCGGGAAACCGGGGCUAAUACCGGAUGCUUGAUUGAACCGCAUGGUUCAAUUAUAAAAGGUGGCUUUUAGCUACCACUUACAGAUGGACCCGCGGCGCAUUAGCUAGUUGGUGAGGUAACGGCUCACCAAGGCGACGAUGCGUAGCCGACCUGAGAGGGUGAUCGGCCACACUGGGACUGAGACACGGCCCAAACUCCUACGGGAGGCAGCAGUAGGGAAUCUUCCGCAAUGGACGAAAGUCUGACGGAGCAACGCCGCGUGAGUGAUGAAGGUUUUCGGAUCGUAAAACUCUGUUGUUAGGGAAGAACAAGUACCGUUCGAACAGGGCGGUACCUUGACGGUACCUAACCAGAAAGCCACGGCUAACUACGUGCCAGCAGCCGCGGUAAUACGUAGGUGGCAAGCGUUGUCCGGAAUUAUUGGGCGUAAAGCGCGCGCAGGCGGUUUCUUAAGUCUGAUGUGAAAGCCCCCGGCUCAACCGGGGAGGGUCAUUGGAAACUGGGGAACUUGAGUGCAGAAGAGGAGAGUGGAAUUCCACGUGUAGCGGUGAAAUGCGUAGAGAUGUGGAGGAACACCAGUGGCGAAGGCGACUCUCUGGUCUGUAACUGACGCUGAGGCGCGAAAGCGUGGGGAGCGAACAGGAUUAGAUACCCUGGUAGUCCACGCCGUAAACGAUGAGUGCUAAGUGUUAGAGGGUUUCCGCCCUUUAGUGCUGCAGCAAACGCAUUAAGCACUCCGCCUGGGGAGUACGGUCGCAAGACUGAAACUCAAAGGAAUUGACGGGGGCCCGCACA
This 901-nucleotide ribosomal RNA is filed under the name Bacillus licheniformis. Its description in RNAcentral is "bacterial SSU rRNA". It matches the Rfam family "Bacterial small subunit ribosomal RNA", at positions 46 to 927 of the family's 1533-position model. The record is from RNAcentral. Lineage: Bacteria; Bacillati; Bacillota; Bacilli; Caryophanales; Bacillaceae.